CCGCCAAAGGGAAGGUGGGGUGUCGGACCACAGCUCCCAGAGUGCCCUCCUGGAUGAAGCAGGACUGCCUGUCCUACCGGACCCCUUCAGAGCCCCCAGCCUAGGGCCACUGUGCAUGCUGGGAGCCAUAGAUACAUAGGUGCAUAUAACAGAUUUUCUUCCUUUUGUGACUAUAAAUGCUUAUCAGGAACCAGAAAUCACAUUUCCGGUAUUUAAACCAACAAGUCUCAACUAUGGCUGCCUGUGAGAAUUUCCUAGAGAGGGCUUAAACACAAUGUCGGCCCCUACACAGGACCAAAUAAAUCAAAACAUCCAUGGAUCAGGGCUUAAGGAGAGCAUAUUUCGGUUUAGGCCAUUGGAUCUCAAACUUUAACCUGCGUCAGCGUCACCCAGAGGGCCUGGUAAACACGGAUUGCUUUGCCGCUUCUAACAUAAGCGCUUUCUCACAGUGCAGGUGCUCUGAAAAUAUUUGCUGAAUAAAUAGUGCCAGGUUUGCAUUGGAAAAGAACAAAGUUCUAGACCAGGCUUGAUUAACUGGUGUCCGUGGAUGGGUUUUGGGAUGGGUGAGCUCCUGAAAUUUUCCACUCUGCUUCGUGGGCACGUGCCUGUGUUCAUAUGCAGGACAGUCUCUUGCUUCUGUCAGAUUUUUAAUGAAUGCGGGUGGGGGCACGACCUAGAAGUGCCACAAGCUACGCUUAUGGGGACUAAAUAUUAUUUUCCUUCAGGCUUUAUUUUUUUCAUGAGUAGAGUAAAAACAAUAAAAAUAGUCUUUUGUUUAAAAAAACCCUAAAUUUUAGUACUGAUGAGCAUAAAAAGCAUUUCAUCUUGUUGAAAAAAUAAUAAACCAGACACUAAAGACACUAGUCUGCCAGCCAAGAGCCUUUUUGCAGACAAAGGCCCAUCAUUUGAGGAAUGCGCCUAUGCUUGUUCCACUUUGAUCAGAAUUUAUUGCAGACUGAAAAAUAAAGGGCAAGACUGCUGUCUCUCAGAGGCAGGCAGUCUGUCUUGUCACCCUCGCCCCGAGGGCCUGCCCAGGAGGGCACACAGUAAUUGGUUGAAAGUAGAAUGGUAUUGGUAAUACACACUACUCAAUUCUGAAAAGCAUGCAAGAAACAUUAAUAAAAUAUCAUCCUAAUGUCCUCUGUAGUUUUGAGUUAGUAAACUUUUAUUUUUUUGAAAUAUGUUCUUUGUUUCUUGCCCUUCAAGACUCGAAGAUUUACCUUCUGCAAGAAAAUUGCUAAAAGCCUUCCCUUUGACAAAUGUAUAACAAUGAUUAUUUUAAAAUUAUUAGAUAUUGUUUUCAUAAUAUUUGACUCAUAAACUAACACCUUUAUUAUUUACUGUGUUAGACACAUGCAUUUAUAUUAUACUGUUAUAUCUUAUGAAAUAAAAUAAUAAAUAUUAUCAUUAUAGUUAAGGACAGAGUUGUGAGUCUAAGAAGAAAAGCCCCUGGCCAAUGUCCAUCAUCCCCAAUGCAGUGAUUUCUUUCUCUGCCAGAUGCUUCUCGAAUUCAAAUGCAACUUUAUUCAGAGAAAUAACCUCUCAUGCACUGUUCCAUAGAGGGUCCAGUGAAAUCUCUACUGAUUAAUGUGGUCCAACAGCACCUGUUCACCAGGGUGCCAAGGAAUAUAGCUGUAAUCCAUACCUAUUACAACUCUCUCUCUCUCUCUCUCUCUCUCUCUCUCUCUCAGAAGCAAAUGGCCUUUCAGAAUUUUAAACUUGUGUAUAACUUUUUUGCACAAAAGAAAGUAUUGUUCUAUGUUAAUAGAGAUCUUUUCCUUUUUGAAGACUUCAAAAUAUUCCACUGUACGGGCACAUGAUUAUUGUUUUUUUAAAAACCGGGCUCCUACUGAUGAAGGUUUAGGUUGCUUCUCAUUUUUCCCUAGGAUGAACAGAGCAAUGCACAUUUGUGUAAGCACAGCUUUUGUAUUUCGUAGGGGAAGGGUAGUGUAGUUACGAUUAUAGCUUUCUUUCUGUCAGCCCCAGCCAUCAAAAAUUCUGGAUGUUAGCCAUGUCUGCCAUCUAGUAGCCAUAGAAACUUGGGGAAAUUACUUAAGUUUGUGUGUGUGCAUGUGAAAUGGAAAUACUAAUUGCUACUCUGCCUUUCUCAUAGGGACGGGAAAUGAUGGAUGGGAACAUGCUUUGAAAACUCUAUUUCAUCAGUGUUCUUUAUCCUUCUAACACGCUAUGUACACAGCUUUGUUCAUGGUCCCCAGUUUUAUCUUGAGUACUCCGUAAAUACUCGUUGCAUGAAAGACUGUGAAUGGGCUUUAUCAGUGGCUCUCAAAUUGCAAUCUCUGCACCACCUGCCAGUGAGCCACCUGGUGCACCAGUUAAAAAGGCAGAUUCCUGGGUGACCUAUUAAAUGAGAAUCUGUGUGUACAGGAGGGCCUGGGAAUGGAGAGGCCUGGAUUUGACUUUUCUUGUAGUUCCUGAGUGAGUCUGAUGUAGAUGAAAAUUUGAGAACCCCUGGGUGAGGCACACACUGAUAUUGCAUGUCCUCAUUUAAAGUUCCCCGCCAGGAAAAAGUGUCACUACUUUGUUGGCUGAAGGAGAAGCAUGUUCAUACAAGAAAUUGUCUCCUAUACAUUUUACAGACUUAAACAGUAUCCUUAGAGAUCCAUUCAGAGUGAGUAGACUACUCAAAAGGAUGGUAAAUGUCUUGCAUAUAAUUUUUUCAAGAGAGGCUUUAGCUUCCUCGUCAAGUUUUAAGAUUGUGUGGGUGUCUACUUUUGGCUGAAUAAAAAAUUCCCUGCCAUGACUGCUAACAGUCACACUGAAUGUAGCUGUGCAAAAUGUCCCUGAGGAAACAGGACACAAAGCCAGUCCUUUCUGGGUAACAGAGGCUGUGAAUAGCACAAAGAAGGCGCAGUCUCUUUUCAUGCAGUUCUUCCUGUGCUAAUAUUUGUCGCCACUGGAGAAAGUAGGAAAUGCAGGGAGAAUGGUGGGGUAUGUCCAGCAACCCAAACAUCACUUUCCACGUGGCCUGUGGUUGCAUUACAGAAGGAGGAAUGAGAUGUUUCUCUGUGACCGGGUAAUAAGAACAGCUCACAGUGGGAGCGCUUGCUUGAUAAAAGCUGCGUUAGGUGUUAUACAUAUAGUAUCAUGUUAAAGUUCAUUAAUUUGCUAGUCAUUGCAAAGUUUUUAAUAAAAUGAAAUGUGGAAAAAAAGCUAGGAAAACCUAAACAAACACCCAAAUACUUUGAGCCCACAGGGAAAGCCAGAAAUCCUGUUUCAUUUGAAAGUAUCAGCUCCAGCUUCUAUGAUGUCAUGUGCCAGACAAAUCUGUUGGACAAGGUCAUGGUUUGGUGAGCCAGUAAGGUGACAUUGCUUAAGAAAAUGCCAUCUAGUCUGCUUGGGAAAGAAAAACAAACACAUUUGGAACAUCUAGUGCUAUUUGAUAUUUUCAGCUGCGAUGCUGAGGACAGAGCCGGGGCAUUGUCGUCAGAACUGAUGUCAGUCUGUUAACGUUUGAAAAUUCUCCUCUGUUUGCAUAGCAUAUAAUGUAAGGUGUCUCCUUACAUAAUGUAAGAUGGACUCCUGCCUUAAAGGAGUUUACAUCCUAUUAUAAGGAAAGGAGCACAAAUCCUCACACAUUCUUAAAGUAAACUUGUAUGUUAACUAUGAAAAGCAGCCUGAGGCCUUACAGAUUGGUGGUUAAGAAUCAAGAGAUGAAAGACAGAAGUAAGAGGCUCAGGGGGAGAGUUAGGCAGAAAUGGAGGAGUUAUGGGAAGCACACCUCUGCCAGAGAAGAGCACAAGGGAAAGAGCAGAAAAUUAAGUCCCUGGUUACCAGCCUUGCUAGAUCACGUUAUGCUCUACCCAGACUGGUCUCUGAGCGUUCACGAUGUUGGGAUAACCAAGCCUUCUCUCUUGGCCACAGGCCUAGAGCAUCCCUUUCCCUGCUCCCCUUCCCUGAAUCCAUGCCGCCUGACCGCAGCUCCUUUGACAUCAGAGACUGCCGGAGUCGCCAGCAAAGUGCAGAGUUCCCGGCUUCCUGGAAUCCAGUGUAGCACUGCAUUCCCUACUCUGACCCUCCGGAAAGGUCUCCAUGUGCCCAGAGCACUUCUGCGCACUGUUCUCUUGGGGAAUGAGCCAGUCCCUCCUUUCAGUAGUAACUGGCAAAAUAAUGAAGAUAAAAGACAUGUUGAAGACAAGCUAAGAGAGAGGAGGUCAAAGAUAAUUUAUUACAGGGAGGUCUCAGCCAAGGAUCUAAGAGGAUGGAGGAAGAAUGAUAUUUUUUCUUUCCUAUCAGGGUAACCAGGUAGCACCAGCUAAUGAGGAAUGCCUCAAUCAACAUAUAGUAAUGAUAAAAUUUAAAAAUAAUAAAAUAAUCAUUCUGAAAUAGUCCAAUUAUUGAUUCAAGUAAGGGAUUGGUGUUGCCCCCAGAAAAGAAUGAUUGGGUGGGCACUGGACACCUGUGGGGGGCCACAGUAACACUAACACUAAUGAGGGGCAUCAGUCCCCACCCACUGUGGUCUCUCUCAAUAUUCCACUGGUGGACAGCCAGAUGUCACGAGUCAUGACAAAAUGCAAUAUGAAGUAAAGCACAUCAUCUAGGUGUAUAGUAGCCAAAAAGGUUCAGAUCUAAUCAAGCCUUUAUAUCUAAUCUCCAACUUGCAGGAGAAGGUAAAUGUUGCUAUAAGCAACCAGCAGAUAAAUCACUGUGAGCCGGUCUUAUCCGCAAGGCAGUGCUGUUAAAAUAUGACUAACCAGACUAAAAGGGACUUAAAUCAGUGCAGUGUGUGAUCUCAGAUUGGAUUCUGUUUUGUAAUUAUAUACGGUUUGGGGGACAUUUAGAGGAAUUAAAUGCGGACUUGUUAUUAGGUACUACAAAAGAUUUAAAGCAACAUUUUAAGUGAGAAAAUGUUAUUUUAAUUACAUAGGAAAAUGCUUUUUUUUCUUUUUUAAGGUUCAUUUGAUAUACUCAUGGUGGAAUGUCCUGAUGUUCAGGAAGUCACAUUAAAACAAUUCUACAUAAAAAAUAAAUGUUCAGGAAGGUUCUGAGUGUAGGGGAGGAGAAGCGGGGUGGUCACUUUCAUUGCUUUUAUUCAACAUAGUGUUGGGAGUGGUGGCCUCAGCAUUCAAACAAGAAGAAGAAAUAAAUGGCAUCCAAAUUUGAAAGAAAGAAGUAAAUGGUCAUUACUUAUAGGUGACAAGAUACUACAUAUAGAGAACUCUGGAGAUUACACCAAAGAACUUCUAGAACUGGUAUACAAACCCAGGAAAGUAGCAGGACACAACAUAAAAAUUUGGAAAUCCGUUGCAUUUUUAUACAGCAAUAAUGAAGUAUCAGAAAGAGAAAUUAAGAAAACAAUCUCAUUUACAACUGUGCCAGAAAGAUAAAAUACCUAGAAAUAAAGUCACCAAUAAGGUAAAAGACUUGUACUCAGACAAAUUAUAAGAUGGUUGGGGGUGUGCAAAGAGGCCACCAAUCAAUGCCCCUCGCCCACAUCAGUGUUUCUCUCCCUCUCUUUCUCUCUUACUUCUCCUCUAAACCUCAAAAAGGAAAUAAAUAAAUAAACAAACAAACAAACAAAUAAAUAAAAUCUUUUUAAAAAGUCAGACAGCUCAAUACCCCAAAAAUGAACGAUCCAAUUUAAAACUAGACAAAGGACCUGAAUAGACACUUCUCCAUAUUCAGAUGAUCUGAAUAUGAAAAGAUGCUCAAGGCCACUAAUCGGAACUAACCUUACACCUGUGGGAUGGCUAUCACCAAUAAAUCAACAAGCAGCAAGUGUUGGCAAGGAUGGGGCAAAAGGGAAACCCUAGUGCACCAUAGGCAGGUUGUAAAUUGGUGCAACCACUUUGGAAAACUGUAUGAAGGUUCCUCAAUAAAUUAAAAAUAGAACAACCUUAUGGUCCAGCAGUUCCUCUUCUAGAUAUGCAGGGUAGGCAAGAGUAGGUUUACAGUUGCGAAGAUGUAAAGCAAGCUUAUUCUUGUAUUAUUUUUAUUAACUAUUGUAUCAUUUAUUUGUAUUACAACUGUAAACCUACCUUUGUCUAUUUCCAUAUAUCCAAAAAAUUCCAAAACACUAAUUAGAAAAGAUAUGUACCUCUAUGUUCAUUUCAGAGUUAUCUGUAAUAACAAAAAUAUAGUAAUGAUCCAAGUGCCCAUAGACAAAUGGAUAAGGAAGAAGUGGUACAUCUAUACAAUAGGAUAUUAGUCAGCCAUAAUGAAGAAUGAAAUCUUACCAUUCAUGACAGUACAGGUAGACUUCAGGGGUAUUAUGUUAAGUGAAAUAAGUCAGACAAAGACAAACAACAUAUGAUUUCCCUUAUACGAUGAAUCUGAAGAACAAAAUUAACAAAAUUGAAAGACUCAUAGAUACAGAAAACAAACUGAGGGUUGCCAGGUGAGAGGGGGCUCGGGGGCUCGGUGAGAAAGGUGAAGGGAUUGAGAAGUACAAAUGGGCAGUUACAGGAGAGUCACAGGGGUGCAAAGGACAGCAUAGGGAUGUAGUCAAUGACAUUAUAAUAAUUACGUAUGGUACUAUUACAGGUGGGUAUGAUAAUUAUCAGGGAUCAUGUCAUAAAUUACAUAAUUUUCUAACCACUAUGCUAUACACUUGAAACUAAUUUAAAAUAAUACUGAGUGUCAACUGUAAUUGAAAAAUAACAUUUUUAGAAAUGAAGGUUUUUCUUAUACAGUGGCUCCUUCCCAUUCGCAGUGUCACUUUGCACAGUUUUAGUUACCUGUGGCCAACCAUGGUCCAAAAAGAUUAAACAAAAAAUUCCAUAAAUAAGCAAUGUAUAACUUUUAAAUUUUACAAUGUUCUGAGUGGUAUGAUGAAAUCUCAUGCCUUUUCACGCCCUCCUACCUGGGACAUGAAAUAUGCCUUCGUUCCACUUCUCCACGCCAUUUGUCACUUAGCCACCGGGGUAUCAGGUCAGCUGUUGCAGAAUUGCGGUCUUAUGUUCCUGUUACCUUUGUUUUGCUUAAUAAUAGUCCCAAAGCCAUUCACAAAACUUUCAUAGAAGUAUACUGUUAUAACUAUUCUAUUGUAGUUGUUAUUAAUCUCUUAUAGUGCCUAGCUUAUAGAUUAAAAUUUAUCAUAGGUAUAUAUACAGAAAAAAUGUAAUAUAUGUGUAUAUAUGUAUAUGUGUGUAUAUACAUACAUAUACAUAUACGUGUGUAUAUAUGUGUGUGUGUGUGUAUAUAUAUGGUUCACUGAUUUGUGGCCUUAGGCAUCCACUGGGGUCUUGCAAUGUACCCCUAGGGAUGAGGGGGGACUGCUGUAAAUGUAAGUGUCCCCUACGAAAGAGUGAUUUCUACUUGCUUUCCAGAGCUUCUCUUGGGUCUGCUAUUUCUUAAAAAUAACCAGCUCAAGAUAUUCCUUACAUCAAAGAGGCAUAUUUGGGAGCAGCACAUUCUGAACCCCUUCACAGGGAAUUAGAUGACACAUUUUCACUGAGUUAAUUAUUUUCCGCAAUAGAAUAUUUCAUUACAUUAUAAUACAAGAUUUUCACAUCUCUGGGUUUUUGAUGUGUGAGCCUAGACCCUAAGUCUGUGUUGGCUUUGCCACUUCGGCCACAGUAACAAUCCACAGUGCCACCGGUGGCAAACUCGGGACAUUAGCGUGCUAGGGGGCUUCAACAAGAGAAUUUGUUCUCUCCCAGUUCUGGAGGCUAGAAGUCCAAGAUGAAUCAUCAGGGUUGGGCCCCUCUGAGGACCCUGAGAGAGUCUGUUUCAGGCCUCUCCCCUUGCUCUCUUGCUGCUGGUGGUUUACCAGCAUCCUCUGGUGUUCCUUAGCCCACAGAGGUAUCACUCCAAUCUCUGACAUUAUCUUCACAAAUUUCCUCUUUCUGUAAGGACCCCAGUCCUGUUGCAUGAGAGCCUACCCUAGUGACCUCAUUUUAAUCUGAUUAUCUCUGUAAAAAUCUAUCUACAAAUAGGGUCACAUUCUGAGGUACUGGGAGUUAGGACGGCAACUUGUACAUUUGGGGGUUGGGAGAAAGGACACACGUAGGGUAAGUGGAGGCAGUCUAGCUUCCUCACCCAUGAGUCUGGGUAACUAAGGGAAGCAGUGUUCCCAUAAACUUGAAUGGGCCUGGUAAGUAGUGUUCUCACAGCCUUGAGACUGGGUCUGAUAAACUGUUCCCGUGACAUGAAGUAGGCUCAAAUGAGCUGGAUUAUACUACAUUAUAUAAUUUUCUGGCCUGAGUCUGGCUUUGUUUGCCUCCAGUACUUAAACCAGUAGGGGCUUCUCACUAGGGACACACAGCUUGCAGCGUGCAUAGUUUACCCACUCGGGAAUAAAGGCCUGUCAAGCAUCCCCAUGGCUCCGCACAUUUUCUUCCCAUGUCCCUGAAUCGAGAGUGGACCUGCCAGGGCUUGACAGGCUACAACACAACGCAAUUCAACUCUUGACAGUGGGGAGGAACAAAGUCUGUAAAUAUCGUGUCAAACCAAGGUCCUGAGAAGCCCACGGGCUCACACACCUACCCAGAGGAGGGUCCAGUGGGCAGGGCGCCACUCCCCCUGCCUUUGAUUGGAGUCAGGCCGCUUCUGUCUUUUCACAAGGGAUUUCCUGAAAAAAGGAAAGGUUGUCAGGGAGGGGAAAAGGAGACUUUGUUCAGUGGCUACAGGGUUUCAGUUUGCAAGAUGAGAAAGUUCUAGAUAUCUGUAGGACACGUGUGCAUAGAGUUAACACUACUGUACUGUGCACGUAAAAAUGGCUAAGAACUUAGAUUUUGUGUUCCGUGCUUUGUAUCACACUUUAACAAAGUUGUCAGGAAAUAAUGCUUUGUGGGGAGCACCAGCAAUGCUCUUUGCCUGUGCCAGCCCCGGGUGGUGACAGCAGCGUUUGCACACUGGGACCAAGGGCCGGCCACACCCCGCUCUCAUAAUAUAGCCACAUUUUCUUGGUGCCAUAAUAUGCCAAGAUUCUAUGAGAACUAAUUGACCCGUUUUACAAAAUUAUUUUUCCUUUGCCUCCUGAGAGUGAUUUAGAUUUUAUUAAGAAAUGUCCUGUAUCUCCCCUUUUAAUAGCUUUUAUUAUAUAUGACUUUUGAAAUGCCAAAAAGCUCCACAAAGAAGAGAAAACAAUGCCACUAUCUACUGACUAUAUUCCUUUAGAAUUAGAUACCAAAACUUAGCACAGUAUACAAACACUGACUCCUGAACUUUGUUAUUAAAAGUUAUUACACAAGGGGGCGCUAGAUGAACAUACAAUAGGUCCUUGACAAAAGGAUACCCAGGUGAGGCAGCUUUAGUAAGUAAUUCAACCUGAAAUAAAUUGUAGCGAUUGCUUGUUUCAGGGCUGAGAAUGGCAAUAUUUACUAACCAAAGAAUCUUUUCACAUUACACAUGCAAUUUAAUCUCUUUUUACAGCUAAAAUUUUAGCUUUUUUGGAGUGAAUCUUUGCAACACACACACCCAAAUGCCCAACAAAUACAUAUACAUUCUUCUUCUUUGAUCUGAAGUAGCAAUGAAGUCUCAUAUUAUUAAGCAUUUUCUUACCCAUGUAAUGUGUUAUGUUAGAUCAUUAGAAGCAGUUAUCAAACAAAUAAAGUAAACUCUAUUGGCGAUGAAGCAUAUACUGAAAAGUUUAUUCAUCUACAGGGUCGUUUGGAUUAAACCUCUCAGGGUUCACUCUGGCAGGCGUAUGGCUCCUGACGCUGCACUUCCCUAGCCCCGCAGAGCUAUUUCUAGGAGCUAUCAGGCCAAAUCAGCAAAGUUUUCAGGAGUGAGAAGAAACAUCUGGAAACAUUCAUGUCCUCAUUUCAAAUAUAUUCAGUAAAUGUCCAAAGUAUAAAAUUUUGAAUUUGUGUAGCAGAAAAUAUCAUAAAGUUCUAAUUAGAGUCCAAAGGAAAAAUGCUCUAGACUGGGCGUUCAGCUCAGAACUUUGCAAAGACAAGCAGAAAUCUGAGCAACUCUCGCCCUGGUCCCCUCACACUAGACUGAGUUGAAAACAGUGUAAGGUCUGGGGUUGAUGGAUGUGGUUUCAAAUCCCAGGCACUGACCCUCGAUUUUCUCACCUCUGAAAUGGGAUUGAUGUUCUCCACAUAUUUGAUAUAUUGUGAUGACAUUUCAAAGAAGAUAAUGUUUCUAUAUCAUGCAGGAGAAAUAAUAUUAUGAAGUGUCAGAUGUUCUUCCUCUUUCUUUUUUUCCCUCUUUUCCUUCCCAUCUCCUUUCUCCCUUCCUAAAUUGUCUGAUUUCAAAUAAUGUCAGGCUUCAGAGAACAACAAGCUUUAUAUGUCGCUCUUCCAGUCAUGUUUACUAUUCGGUUGUUUUUACCAGUCAGCCUCUCCUCGCCCUCUCUCUGGUCAUCAUGCUUCCUAUACCUGUGUUUACAGGCUCACUCGGAGAAUUUCCCGGGAGCUGUACUCCAAGGGCUUUGCACACUGUCUAGUGCAAACUAAGGAAAUCAACCAUAUUGAAAACCGCAUUUCAAAGGCCAUAUUCUUUUCCUGUCAUUGUAAAUUUCAGCUCUAUUAAGAAUGCAAUGAUCUAAUAUUCAACUGUCUUAGGUAGGGUCUUUAGGUGGGCAACAGAAUCCCUUUUCCUAAUGUAAGACAGAGACUUUUCAAGGGGUAGAGGCAGCUCAUGGAAUCGUUGGCAGGGCUGCAGAAAUGGGCUGAGCUUCUAGGAGCUGCUGCUCCUUCCACAACAGGAAGCUGUCAGAUCAGGAAGUCUCUGUCGCAGCUGAUGACACAAACAUGUGGCCUCUGCCACGACCUCCACUGGCAAAACAAGUGCCCCCAGUGCUGUCUUUCCCUUCACGUAACUCCGUUCUGAGAGACAGCAUCCCUGGAUGGUAACACUUGGCUUACACCUGGAACUCUACCUUUGAGAGACCGGGAGAUGUAAUACAUGCCCUUGCUAGUGUUUCAGCCCAAGAAGGCACAAUAGAAUGGUGUUGGGAGGAUUUUAAAUGAGCCAGUCCAGAAGCUCUCUACAUUCUUUUUCUAUUUGGUCUAUUUUCAUAUAAUUAUUAGACUUUCUAUAAACUUUGUUAAACACAAGUCAAUGUCCUUUACUGUUACGGGUGAGGAAGAUGAACGAUGCAGAGAUUCAAUACUGUGAGACUAUAUUUAGGACUGUCUAUUUUGAAAUUAUGCAUCUUAAAUAUUUUUAUAAGUAAUCAAAUUCAGUAAGAUUUAUUACCUUUCUCUUCAGAUAGGACUCAGUAUCAUACCUGUGUGGGUGAAACAGAAUGUGAAAUGCCAAGGAAAAGAUAGACCAGUGGGUUACCAUUUUCAAUGAUCCUUUUCCAGAGGUAAUCGUUUAACCUCCGAAAAAGAACUGGAAAACCAUAGCCUCUAGCACCUUGGAUUUUAAAAUGCACCUAAAAUUCUUUGUUUAUUCUGGGAUAAUUCUCAGAAACAUCAUCAAACAAAGGAUUGGUACAGCUUUCCCACUGCGAUGGUUAUUGAACAAUUUUUCAGUUUGCACUGAACCUCUACCAGACCCAUUAUGUCAGUCCAUGACCUUUUACAAAAUUAUGGAAGACAUUCCAAAAUGAGAAAGACGGUCGGCACAGCCAACAGGAAAAUUAGAGUAAAUGUGGUGCCUUUUGAUACAUGAAAUAAUUUCCCACACCUUUGCUUUUCAGAUCUGACUCAUGCUAGAUAAUUUCCAUUAGAAUAUCACAGAUUGGAGGUGAUAUGGGUUUGCAGAGCACAGUGAACUUGAAAACUAUGAAAAUGAUUCAAAUUUCUAUCCCCAAAACCCUUUCCUAACCAUCCUUAUUUUUUUCUUUUGGGCAAAACAAAUGUUACAGAGCCUUUGUAACACUUCAAAGCACUGUGCUGGGCUUUGUUUAAAAGCUGCAAGGAGUCCAAAUUUCUGAUCAUACAAAAACAGUUUGAUACCAUCUGAGAUAAUGAUUAUUAAUCCAGUCAUUUAAAUCACUCAGGACAAUGAGUACAUGUUCCCCUGAACAGAAAUACUUGCUUUCAAACCAUCCAUAACCAUAUCUUAGCAGAAUCUGGAUCUGACAACUGUCUGGAACGGGCCUUGUGAUAAAAAGUGAGAUUUUCAGCAGAGGGAGGCAGGCAACCCGGUGCUACCCGCCAAGGGGGUGGCUGAGGAAAUCCACAGUACUACUUCUCCCUCCUGCAGUUCUUCAAUGGCUUGCUGCCACCUCCUACUGGCUGAACUUAAAUAGAGACAGAAGCCAGAAUGCUGUCUAGCAAUAAUGUGAUCCCAGGGCUCAAAGCCUGAGUGGACAGUGGAUCUGGUGUAGCAAAAAGAAGAUCUGAUGAGCAUGGCCUUUAUCUGUGCCAAUUUUUGAUAGAUCUAAUUUAAUCCUCACCAAAACCUACUACAUGAAGAUUAUCUUCUGCACUGUGUAAAUAAGAAAAAUAAAGGCUCAAAUCUUUUAUUGUAAUUCAGCACAGCCAGUAAUGUAAGUCAUCAUAAUAAUAGUUUGGAGGGGGAAAACAUCUAAGUACAUGCAGAAAAGAAAGUACUGGAAUAAUUUAUUUUUUAUUAAUGGUAAAAUACUUUAGCAAUUUUUGCAUAGAAAAGACUUUAUUAAAGUAGUAAAGAGUAUAUAUAUUGAUCUGCAAUCAUUAGUAUACCUGAUUGUAGAAAUUGUAGAAACAUCGUUUUAAAAUCCAGAACAAAUCAAAAUGUCUACUGUAUUGCUUUUACUUAAUAUUUCAAUUCAAGUCAAAGCUACUGCUGAAAGUCUUAGCUAUUGAAGGAAGAAAUAUGUAAGAAUUUAAAAAAGAAAAAACUACAAAACAAAUAAAAAUAUAUAGGCAUUGAAAAAAAAUCAGUCAAACAAAAAGCUGAGAAAGGGGUAAUAAAAAGGCAGCAGAAAUGCAUGGUUGAAGAACACAGGCUCUGAGGUACCACAGAUCUGGCUUUGAACUCAGCUUUCCCGCUCACUCUCACAUUGCGUGACCUUGGCUAAGUACAACAUCACAGACCCUCACGUGAUAAAUGAGUGGUACCAGUAUGAGUGUAGAUAUCAUGGUUGUCUGCAUAGGAAACCCAAGGAAAUCUAUAGGUAACAUGGGAUCUAAGCAGAGAGCUCAGCAAGACAGAACAAUGUACAAAAAACAAUUGCAUUUUCCCAUGCUAGUAACUAAGAAUUAGAAAAUGUAUACUUUAAAAUACACAGAAUUUAGAAGUAAACCUAAUAAAAUAUGUGCAUGACUUGUGGCAAAAAUUAUAAACUUUACAGAAAGUUUAAAAAGAGCUAAAUAUGUAGAGAAAGGUAUAUGUUUAUGCAAUUAAAAUAUAAUGCUUCUCCCAGAUUAAUGUAUACAUUAAAGAUAAUUCCAAUAAAAAUGCCAAUUUACAGGCUUACAAGCUACAUGAAGAAAAAAGGGCCAAGAAUGCUAAAAACAGUACAGCAUUAAAUCAAGACAUAGCCAUAUCGAGACUUAUUAUAAAACUGUAAUAGUUAAGACAAGGUGACAAGAAAAAAACAAAUGGAAGAGAAGAGAUACCCCAAGAGCAGAUCUAUCCACAUUUGGUUAUUGAUUAUGUGACAGAGAUGUCAGUGCUGAUCAGGAGGGUUCAUGGGUACAAGGACACCUGGGUAUGAGGAAAAAGGCAAACUAAUAACAAAAGACGUAAAGAAAUGAAAAGAAAGCCAUUCUAUGUGUUCAUGGAAUCAGUUUAAACGUUUAUGCGCAAAUACAAAAUGUUUGUUUUUAUUCAAUGGUUCAAAGAUGAGACCUGUUUAAUUUGUGUCUGCACGUCCCCCUGACGUGACCAGGUUGGCCUCGUUAAUUUAUCUGCUGUUCCUUUCUUCUCCUCCGCUCUGCCCUUGUGUUCCCUGGCAAACAACACAAAACUCUAGGCCUUUUGUAGUUGUCACCAGCACCAUUUGUCUUUGGACAAUUCAGAUAAUGGUAAUUCAGAGCAGUGGUCAGGAACCUUUUUGGCACCAGAGAUUUGGUGAAAGACAAUUUUUCCACUGACCAGGGUCGGGCUGGGGAGGCUGAACUCAGGCAGUAAUGCAAGUGAGCAGUGUCCCCCCGGGAAGGAGGGAG
Artibeus jamaicensis (Jamaican fruit-eating bat) is the source of this 13955-nucleotide RNA transcript. RefSeq lists it as uncharacterized. The transcript is spliced from 3 exons. Lineage: Eukaryota; Metazoa; Chordata; Mammalia; Chiroptera; Phyllostomidae. The record is from RefSeq and is a predicted model, not a curated record.